AGCAUCACAGCUCAAAAUUUUCCCCAUAUUCACCUACAUAGGUCUCCCUCAGACACAUGGAUUGGAAAACCUGGGAAACAUUCAGUAGAACAGGUAAUCCUGCUUAGUCAAAGAGGCUAACUGACACUUGGCUUCAUGAAGAGGGGAACUGAAGCAGCCCAGCAGGGGUCUCCCUCCCAAGCUAGAUCUUAGCCAUUGAGAUAGGUGUGGGAAAGGAUAAGGAGGGACAAGAGCAAGGGUCUCCUUACCAACACAGGCCUGAUUUGCAGAGGGUGCCAUGGUGGCCUUCAUCUGCACAGCAGGGGGUCCUCCUCCAAAGGCAGCUCAGCACACAUGGUCUCUCUCAGAACAUAUGGACUGGAAAACCUGGUAAACAAUCAAGAGAUCAGGUCUCCCUCAGAUAAAUGGAUUGGAAAACCUGGUAAACAUUUAAGACAUCAGAGGGUGCAGUAGCUGCCUUCAUAUGCACAGGAGGGGGUCUGCCUCCAAAGAAACCUCCAGGUCAUGGGUGGUCCUUUCUGGGAGCCCAAAGCAGCCCCCCAAAGCCCAGCCUA
This 554-nucleotide long non-coding RNA is filed under the name Sarcophilus harrisii (Tasmanian devil). RNAcentral describes it as "lncRNA (ENSSHAG00000030582.1)". Lineage: Eukaryota; Metazoa; Chordata; Mammalia; Dasyuromorphia; Dasyuridae. The record is from RNAcentral.